UCUCACUCUCUCAUUCACUUCAUAUCUCUUCAUUUCUCUCUCUCUCUCUCUCUCUCUCGCCUGACUUCGACCGGCGACCUUGGAGCCGUCCCUCCGGCGACGGGCAGCAGCUCCAACAGUGAGACAACCUCCCUUCGAUCUCCGACGAGCAGCAGCGGCGGCGGCCCUCUUCUCCAGUGAAGCAGUGACGGCGACGAUCUCCAGCGGCAGCGACGCUCUAGCUCCGGCGAAUCCUCUCCCCUUCUUCCCUUUUUCCGGCGUGGCGAGCAGAGGCUAAUCUCAGGCGAGGCAGCAGCGACCUCCGACCCUACUCCGGCAAAGCGGCAGAAAUGGUGUUCCUCUUGCAGCGUGGGGUUUGGUUGAGCAAAAGGCACGUCACCGCAGAACAUAGUGGAAAAACAAAACAAAAAAAAAAAAAAAAGAAGAAAUAGAUCUGCAGCCUGCAGGUGCCAGAACACAAUAAUUGGAGGGGCACUUAUCAGGGGAAUAUCUGGAGGUGAAAGGAAACGAGUCUGCAUUGGCAAUGAAAUUCUGCUAAACCCAUCACUUCUGUUCUUGGAUGAACCAACAUCCGGUUUGGAUUCAACCACGGCUCUGCGAAUUGUCCAGAUGUUACAUAAUAUUGCUAAGGUUGUAAUUAUAUAUCAUCUUUCAAAUUAAUGUUACAUAACACUUUGCUUACGUGGCAAAUCAUAUAUUAAUAAUAUUGAAAAGUCAACUGCCGCAUAAGCUUUGACCGGAUGCUAUCGGGUGGUUAACCGGAUCAAGGGGUGGGAUGCACUAAAAUGAUGAGUUUAUGUGUUU
Molecule: long non-coding RNA, 804 nt
Organism: Ipomoea nil (Japanese morning glory)
Lineage: Eukaryota; Viridiplantae; Streptophyta; Magnoliopsida; Solanales; Convolvulaceae
Exons: 3
Source: RefSeq, a predicted model, not a curated record